CCUGCAUUUGGAGAUGUUACAGAUACUGCUGCUGUAUCACAUGUGCCUCAGUAAGUGGCAUAGAGGAGUGAGUAAGUGUAGGCUCUGUGUUCAGACUACAAACUUCUGAAUGAUUAGUAGACUGCCAUU
Apodemus sylvaticus (European woodmouse) is the source of this 129-nucleotide small nucleolar RNA. RefSeq annotates it as small nucleolar RNA SNORA17. The transcript has a single exon. NCBI's taxonomy places the organism in Eukaryota, Metazoa, Chordata, Mammalia, Rodentia, Muridae. The record is from RefSeq and is a predicted model, not a curated record.